This 503-nucleotide ribosomal RNA is filed under the name uncultured bacterium. Its description in RNAcentral is "partial 16S ribosomal RNA". It matches the Rfam family "Bacterial small subunit ribosomal RNA", at positions 30 to 523 of the family's 1533-position model. The record is from RNAcentral.
AUUGAACGCUGGCGGCAGGCUUAACACAUGCAAGUCGAGCGGGGUGAUGGUGCUUGCACUAUCACUUAGCGGCGGACGGGUGAGUAAUGCUUAGGAAUCUGCCUAUUAGUGGGGGACAACAUCUCGAAAGGGAUGCUAAUACCGCAUACGCCCUACGGGAGAAAGCAGGGGAUCACUUGUGACCUUGCGCUAAUAGAUGAGCCUAAGUCGGAUUAGCUAGUUGGUGGGGUAAAGGCCUACCAAGGCGACGAUCUGUAGCGGGUCUGAGAGGAUGAUCCGCCACACUGGGACUGAGACACGGCCCAGACUCCUACGGGAGGCAGCAGUGGGGAAUAUUGGACAAUGGGGGGAACCCUGAUCCAGCCAUGCCGCGUGUGUGAAGAAGGCCUUAUGGUUGUAAAGCACUUUAAGCGAGGAGGAGGCUCUUUUGGUUAAUACCCAGAAUGAGUGGACGUUACUCGCAGAAUAAGCACCGGCUAACUCUGUGCCAGCAGCCGCCGUAA